Molecule: long non-coding RNA, 483 nt
Organism: Hipposideros armiger (great roundleaf bat)
Lineage: Eukaryota; Metazoa; Chordata; Mammalia; Chiroptera; Hipposideridae
Exons: 3
Source: RefSeq, a predicted model, not a curated record
GCCUCAAUGCCCAAGCGAACAGAGGACAAACCGAGCAGACACAGGGAACCUUGCUGGUCUCAGGGAGCUUGGCCCAGCAACCAUGAGGCUGGUCCCCGCAAUCAGGCUGCUGCAAGCCCCCCUGAGCGGCUGGGUGGUCCCCAGAGCACACAUAUACGCCAAACCGGCCAAAACACCCACCUCUCCCACGGAGCAAGCCGUGGCGCUGAGCGUGACGUUCCUCAGCUUCCUGAUCCCUGCGGGCUGGGUCCUGUCCCACCUGGAGAGCUACAAGAAGUCUGCCGCAUGAAGGCUGUGCUUCCGCCACCCAAGACACGCAUGGGGAGGGGGUCACAUUAAAGCUCUCCCCCAACCUGAGACUCCUUGGUGAUUCUUCUCUCGUGCACCCCCAACCCGACUCACAGCACAGGGCCGGCUUGUGUCAGCGCCGGGGCACUCAGGUCGCGGGAGCUGCCGGCUAGGUGUCAAGUGUGACCUGGACGC